RNAcentral lists this ribosomal RNA (254 nucleotides) under uncultured bacterium. Its description in RNAcentral is "partial 16S ribosomal RNA". It matches the Rfam family "Bacterial small subunit ribosomal RNA", at positions 334 to 601 of the family's 1533-position model. The record is from RNAcentral.
GUGUCCCUACGGGACGCAGCAGUGGGGAAUAUUGGGCAAUGGGCGCAAGCCUGACCCAGCAACGCCGCGUGAAGGAAGAAGGCUUUCGGGUUGUAAACUUCUUUUCUCAGGGACGAAGCAAGUGACGGUACCUGAGGAAUAAGCCACGGCUAACUACGUGCCAGCAGCCGCGGUAAUACGUAGGUGGCAAGCGUUAUCCGGAUUUACUGGGUGUAAAGGGCGUGUAGGCGGGGACGCAAGUCAGAUGUGAAAAC